Molecule: long non-coding RNA, 215 nt
Filed under: Coturnix japonica (Japanese quail)
Lineage: Eukaryota; Metazoa; Chordata; Aves; Galliformes; Phasianidae
Description: lncRNA (ENSCJPG00005020042.1)
Source: RNAcentral
UUUUUCUACAGGGUGUAUUUGUGGUGCCAAAGAAGAAAGUAUGCAGCUACUUGAGAAUAGAGAACUCUUGCAAGUAAACCUGGAGAGUAAGGAUUCAGAGUGGAAUGGCAGUCUAUUCACUGGAGGGAAAAAGUUGAAGUGUGAAGCCUGAUGGUGAGCCUAGACUGAGCAGACACCAAAUUGAACAGAAAGCAAUGUGAUUUUUCAGAAAUGAG